UACCGGCACUACAAGUGGUAUCCACUUAUAUUGGGUCUAAAGCGCUCGUAGCCGGCCCUUUAAGUCAUUGGUGAAAUCCUUCAGCUUAACUGAAGGGCGUGCCAGUGAUACUGAGGGGCUUGGGAGUGGGGGAGGUCAGGGGUACGCUCGGGGUAGGGGUAAAAUCCGUUAAUCCUGGGCGGACCAGCAGUGGCGAAGGCGCCUGACCAAAACACGUCCGACGGUGAGGAGCGAAGGCUAGGGGAGCAAA
RNAcentral lists this ribosomal RNA (250 nucleotides) under uncultured archaeon. RNAcentral describes it as "partial 16S ribosomal RNA". It matches the Rfam family "Archaeal small subunit ribosomal RNA", at positions 474 to 723 of the family's 1478-position model. The record is from RNAcentral.